Molecule: ribosomal RNA, 497 nt
Filed under: uncultured bacterium
Lineage: Bacteria
Description: partial 16S ribosomal RNA
Rfam family: Bacterial small subunit ribosomal RNA
Source: RNAcentral
GAUGGACGCUGGCGGCGUGCCUAAUACAUGCAAGUCGAGCGAACAGGCGAGGAGCUUGCUCCUCUGACGUUAGCGGCGGACGGGUGAGUAACACGUGGAUAACCUACCUAUAAGACUGGGAUAACUUCGGGAAACCGGAGCUAAUACCGGAUAAUAUAUUGAACCGCAUGGUUCAAUAGUGAAAGACGGUUUUGCUGUCACUUAUAGAUGGAUCCGCGCCGCAUUAGCUAGUUGGUAAGGUAACGGCUUGCCAAGGCAACGAUGCGUAGCCGACCUGAGAGGGCGAUCGGCCACACUGGAACUGAGACACGGUCCAGACUCCUACGGGAGGCAGCAGUAGGGAAUCUUCCGCAAUGGGCGAAAGCCUGACGGAGCAACGCCGCGUGAGUGAUGAAGGUCUUCGGAUCGUAAAACUCUGUUAUUAGGGAAGAACAAAUGUGUAAGUAACUAUGCACGUCUUGACGGUACCUAAUCAGAAAGCCACGGCUAACUACGUG